UCCUGCGUGCGUUCUUGCUGG
RNAcentral lists this unclassified non-coding RNA (21 nucleotides) under Mus musculus (house mouse). Its description in RNAcentral is "oocyte_clustered_small_RNA12555". The record is from RNAcentral. Lineage: Eukaryota; Metazoa; Chordata; Mammalia; Rodentia; Muridae.